The sequence is a transfer RNA, 86 nucleotides long. It matches the Rfam family "tRNA". Rfam says of the family: Transfer RNA (tRNA) molecules are approximately 80 nucleotides in length. Their secondary structure includes four short double-helical elements and three loops (D, anti-codon, and T loops).
GCAGGGGUGCCCGAGUCCGGUCAAAGGGGCAGGACUUAAGAUCCUGUGGCUUAGUGCCUGCGAGGGUUCAAAUCCCUCCCCCUGCA